GCGGAAAUAGCUCAGUUGAUAGAGCAUUAGCCUUCCAAGCUGAGGGUCGCGGGUUUGAGUCCCGUUUUCCGCUCUA
RNAcentral lists this transfer RNA (76 nucleotides) under Macellibacteroides fermentans. Its description in RNAcentral is "tRNA_Gly_TCC". It matches the Rfam family "tRNA". Rfam says of the family: Transfer RNA (tRNA) molecules are approximately 80 nucleotides in length. Their secondary structure includes four short double-helical elements and three loops (D, anti-codon, and T loops). Lineage: Bacteria; Pseudomonadati; Bacteroidota; Bacteroidia; Bacteroidales; Porphyromonadaceae. RNAcentral also lists the same sequence under 1 other name. The record is from RNAcentral.